AUAAGAGGCAUUCGUUUCUUUUGGAACUUUAGAAACAAGAAUCCCAAGCCCUUGUCCCCGGUUUCGUAAAACUUUGAAUGCGUCCUCAUCAGUCCGAUCAUCACCGAUAUAGACGGGUAGAACAUUGUUAGAAUUAGCAUAUCCUAGCGAUUCUAAUAAGAAUUCCAGAGCUUUGCCCUUAUCCCAUUUAAUGAUUGGUCGGAUUUCUAAAACCUUCCUCCCUUGAGUUAGUCUAAGCUUGGGAUAAUCAUUAAGUGCUGAUCCUACCUGUUCAGCUAAUGCAGCCCACAUCUUUUCAUCAACACAUCUGAAGUGUACGGAUAUGCAAAAUUUGUUAUUUUCCACUUUAGCACCAGGGAUGGAUUUUGUUUUCUCUAUCAGAACUUUGUACACCUCAUCAAUCAUGGGCAAGAAUUUACUGGCAGGUUGAAACAGUAGAGCUUGAUGAUCUUUUUUGUAUUUGCGAGUUUUGGAUGGUCCCUUUAUGUCCAUGCCAUGGCUACCUGCAUAGUAAAGCCCCGCCAAUUUUACAAAGCUGUAGACCUUGUCUCUGCACCUUCCAGUGACUAUAGCUGUAGGAAAAUAUCUUGCAACAUCCCUAACAGCCUCUCUCAUUUCAUUAGUCAUGAAUGCUCGAUCAGGAUCUUCAACAAUGGGUGAGAGUGUACCAUCAUAAUCAAGAAACAUCACAAUCUGCUUUCCCUUAGAAGCAUUCACUAUUUGGUGGAACAUGCUUAAAGCCGAAGGAUGUUUGAGAAUCCAGGAAUUUUUUUCCUCGGUUUCAGAUAAAGAAGAGGUGGAUUUGACACGGGUAGGGGAAGAAUCUCUCAUUGAAUUAACCCAAACAUUAGUUUUGGCUACUUCUGCAGCAGCUGCUGCUGCUGCUGCUCCACCUGUUUCAAUCAUCUUUGCAAGUCUAGGAGCAGGUAAUGGCUUUGGCAUAGCCGGUGAAAAUAAAGAUUUGUGCAAGAGAAUACAGCUGAUCCUGAUAUUUUUACCCGAUUUCGCAUCGGAUGAUAUCACAUUCUGGUUCGUCAUUCCCUCUUUGAAAAGGCAGCAGAGAGAACUCAACACACACACUG
RNAcentral lists this unclassified non-coding RNA (1082 nucleotides) under Hevea brasiliensis (rubber tree). The record is from RNAcentral. Lineage: Eukaryota; Viridiplantae; Streptophyta; Magnoliopsida; Malpighiales; Euphorbiaceae.